AGUGAACGCUGGCGGCAUGCCUUACACAUGCAAGUCGAACGGCAGCACGGGUGCUUGCACCUGGUGGCGAGUGGCGAACGGGUGAGUAAUACAUCGGAACAUGUCCUGUAGUGGGGGAUAGCCCGGCGAAAGCCGGAUUAAUACCGCAUACGAUCUACGGAUGAGAGCGGGGGACCUUCGGCCCUCGCGCUAUAGGGUUGGCCGAUGGCUGAUUAGCUAGUUGGGGGGGUAAAGGCCUACCAAGGCGACGAUCAGUAGCUGGUCUGAGAGGACGACCAGCCACACUGGGACUGAGACACGGCCCAGACUCCUACGGGAGGCAGCAGUGGGGAAUUUUGGACAAUGGGCGAAAGCCUGAUCCAGCAAUGCCGCGUGUGUGAAGAAGGCCUUCGGGUUGUAAAGCACUUUUGUCCGGAAAGAAAUCCUUGGCCCUAAUACGGUCGGGGGAUGACGGUACCGGAAGAAUAAGCACCGGCUAACUACGUG
RNAcentral lists this ribosomal RNA (486 nucleotides) under uncultured bacterium. Its description in RNAcentral is "partial 16S ribosomal RNA". It matches the Rfam family "Bacterial small subunit ribosomal RNA", at positions 29 to 507 of the family's 1533-position model. The record is from RNAcentral.